ACCCUGGUGGCACAGAUGGUAAAGCGUCUGCCUACAAUGCAGGAGACCCAGGUUCGAUCCCUGGGUCGGGAA
Molecule: non-coding RNA, 72 nt
Organism: Ovis aries (sheep)
Lineage: Eukaryota; Metazoa; Chordata; Mammalia; Artiodactyla; Bovidae
Source: Rfam